Molecule: ribosomal RNA, 492 nt
Filed under: uncultured bacterium
Lineage: Bacteria
Description: partial 16S ribosomal RNA
Rfam family: Bacterial small subunit ribosomal RNA
Source: RNAcentral
AGUGAACGCUGGCGGUAGGCCUAACACAUGCAAGUCGAACGGCAGCACAGUAAGAGCUUGCUCUUACGGGUGGCGAGUGGCGGACGGGCGAGGAAUACAUCGGAAUCUACUUUUUCGUGGGGGAUAACGUAGGGAAACUUACGCUAAUACCGCAUACGACCUACGGGUGAAAGCAGGGGAUCUUCGGACCUUGCGCGAUUGAAUGAGCCGAUGUCGGAUUAGCUAGUUGGCGGGGUAAAGGCCCACCAAGGCGACGAUCCGUAGCUGGUCUGAGAGGAUGAUCAGCCACACUGGAACUGAGGCACGGUCCAGACUCCUACGGGAGGCAGCAGUGGGGAAUAUUGGACAAUGGGCGCAAGCCUGAUCCAGCCAUACCGCGUGGGUGAAGAAGGCCUUCGGGUUGUAAAGCCCUUUUGUUGGGAAAGAAAAGCAGCAGGUUAAUACCCCGCUGUUCUGACGGUACCCAAAGAAUAAGCACCGGCUAACUUCGUG